RNAcentral lists this unclassified non-coding RNA (341 nucleotides) under soil metagenome. RNAcentral describes it as "partial contains 5.8S ribosomal RNA, internal transcribed spacer 2, and large subunit ribosomal RNA". The stretch from base 1 to 120 matches the Rfam family "5.8S ribosomal RNA", at positions 35 to 154 of the family's 154-position model. The record is from RNAcentral.
GAUGAAGAACGUAGCGAAAUGCGAUAAGUAGUGUGAAUUGCAGAAUUCAGUGAAUCAUCGAAUCUUUGAACGCACAUUGCGCCCUUUGGUAUUCCAAAGGGCAUGCCUGUUCGAGCGUCAUUUGUACCCUCAAGCUUUGCUUGGUGUUGGGCGUCUUGUCUCUAGCUUUGCUGGAGACUCGCCUUAAAGUAAUUGGCAGCCGGCCUACUGGUUUCGGAGCGCAGCACAAGUCGCACUCUCUAUCAGCAAAGGUCUAGCAUCCAUUAAGCCUUUUUUUCAACUUUUGACCUCGGAUCAGGUAGGGGUACCCGCUGAACUUAAGCAUAUCAAUAAGCGGAGGA